GCUGGGUAUAGCAAUGUAUACCUAUAGUCCCAGCAACUCAGGAGGCUCAGGUAGGAGGACUGCUUGAGCCCAGGAAUUCAAGGCCAGCCUGGGCAACAUAACAAGAUCCCAUCAC
This 115-nucleotide small RNA is filed under the name Marmota monax (woodchuck). The record is from RNAcentral. Lineage: Eukaryota; Metazoa; Chordata; Mammalia; Rodentia; Sciuridae.